This 497-nucleotide ribosomal RNA is filed under the name uncultured bacterium. Its description in RNAcentral is "partial 16S ribosomal RNA". It matches the Rfam family "Bacterial small subunit ribosomal RNA", at positions 28 to 507 of the family's 1533-position model. The record is from RNAcentral.
GAUGAACGCUGGCGGCGUGCCUAAUACAUGCAAGUCGAGCGAACAGACGAGGAGCUUGCUCCUCUGACGUUAGCGGCGGACGGGAGAGUAACACGUGGAUAACCUACCUAUAAGACUGGGAUAACUUCGGGAAACCGGAGCUAAUACCGGAUAAUAUAUUGCACCGCAUGGUUCAAUAGUGAAAGACGGUUUUGCUGUCACUUAUAGAUGGAUCCGCGCCGCAUUAGCUAGUUGGUAAGGUAACGGCUUACCAAGGCAACGAUGCGUAGCCGACCUGAGAGGGUGAUCGGCCACACUGGAAGUGAGACACGGUCGAGACUCCUACGGGAGGCAGCAGUAGGGAAUCUUACGCAAUGGGGGAAAGCCUGACGGAGCAACGCCGCGUGAGUGAUGAAGGUCUUCGGAUCGUAAAACUCUGUUAUUAGGGAGGAACAAAUGUGUAAGUAACUAUGCACGUAUUGACGGUACCUAAUCAGAAAGCCACGGCUAACUACGUG